AUUAAGCUAACACAUCAAUACA
RNAcentral lists this microRNA (22 nucleotides) under Drosophila virilis. Its description in RNAcentral is "dvi-miR-9717-3p". The record is from miRBase by way of RNAcentral. Lineage: Eukaryota; Metazoa; Arthropoda; Insecta; Diptera; Drosophilidae.